ACAAACAAAGUCCAAGUCUGAUAUCUCUAUAUAUAAUUCUUGAAAGUAAUAAGAAAAAUAAAAAAAAUAACUUAAAACUGCAAAAUGACCAAAAAAGAAACAAAAUUUCUAGCUCGACCAUGAGACAUAAUAGCGUAUUCAGUUUUGGUUUUGGUUUGUCUCAUCGCAAGUUUUGAAACAGUUUAUUAUAUGCCCAAAAUAAAUACUUGUAACUCAAGUUAUGACCUUUAAAAGAUACCUUAUUUAUCUUGCACAACUAUCUUACAUCAGUAACUCUUUAUACAUUUAAAAAAUUCUAUCAAAAUUAAGAGAGAAAAUGAUGAAAUAAGUAGAUUUUUAAACCUUAUUUUUGAUAAAAAUGAUUAUGAAAUAAUAAGAUACUUUUGAUAUUUCAACGAUAAUCACGCAUUGAAUUAGCAUAAGAAGAAUCCGAUAAAUCAUACGUUAGAUAGGUACAGUAAAAUUUAGAAAUUAUUAUUUAUGUUCUCAUUCAAGUUAUUAUUAUGAUGAUGAUAAUGAUGAUGUUCUUUCUAAUAGCAUGUGCUUAUUACAAUCAUCAACUUGAUAAAUUAAAGUAUGAAACAAAUAAAUCACAAUCAUGCUUGUUCAAAGUUAUGAAUGAUAUAACUAUUUGAAAUGAGACAAUUUCUAAAAUAAGUGAAUUUCAAGUGAGACGGCUGCGGGGUGGGGUCGUUCUUGCCUGCGGGUGAAGCUUCUACAACUUGGUGUUUGUUGGACUUUAUCACUCAAAAUUUCACCAUUACGAGCAUCCCCACUUAGCUUUCACAAUUUUAAUCCAUAUAUUUUGUAUAAGAUUUAAAUAUCGAAAAGAAAGUUCUUUCAAUGCCCCCAACUUGAGAUAACCGUAAAAUCAAGAUUUAAGGCAUCCUAAAUACGCUUCACAAGUUGCUUUGGAUUAGGAUAUGUGAAGCUGCUUUGGAUUAGGAUAUAACACCCAUUACCGUUUAUUCGGAAUUGGACACGUUGUUUUUUCAUUCUGUUAUUAAGGUUUGGAUAAGGAUAAGAAACUUUACCUUUUACGCAUCUACUGCCAUGAAAUGACAUAGCUAGUAAUAAAUUGUAGGGAUAGACGAGAUACAUAAUUAAGGUUAUGUUUAGAAUUGAGGUGUCGUAAUUUUUAAGUUAUAGCUGAUGUGGAAAAAAAUUGUAACUAUUAAAUAAAAAUUAAUAAUAUAUAGUAAAUAUAAAUUUUAAAUAAUAAUUUUGAUAAAAUUAUUAAAGAUAUAAUAGAUUUUUUAUUAUACAAGUGAAAAAUCAUAUUAACAUACCUUGCAAAGUACAACAGUUAGUGUUUACCAAACACUUUAGUCCUUGUCCAACUUCAAUCUCAAAUACACCUUAACUGACUUUAUUUUUCAUCAUUAACGUGACACUGAGGACAGGUCAUAUGUGAUAAACUACGUAUGUAUCUUAGCUGUGUAGCGCAACAUCACUCUUAAAGUCGAGAAGAAAAGCUACUAAAUUUCUCCGAAGCUACUCGUAAUCUUAAAUGUUGCAUUUCAACAUUUUAUUUAUUCAUUUGGGAUGAACAUGUGUGAGUAGAUGUUUAAUGGCCAACCAACAAAAGUUAUAUGUUAGCAAUUUAAAUGGGUUUCUCAGAGGUAUGGAAGCCCGGCCCAGUAAAAGUUUAUACACUUUGAUCACAUCUUUAAAAGCCUAUAAAAAUGUCGCGAGAUUUCUUUGAAGCCAAGAGUUCAAGGAGCAAGACCGACACUAAAGGUAGCAAAAGUGCAGACCCUUUUCUACACCAAAUAACAUGUUUACGUCGGUUGUGGUUGCAAGCGUUUGUUUCAUUUUCAAUUUACGAUUAAUAAGAACUUUAAUCAUGUGUCCUUAAUAUUAGUCAAGAUAUAAUUAUUUCCCUUAAUUAAUCUAUGAAUAUGUGAGUUUGUGUCUGUGGAUAUUUGUGUCUCGAGUGUUUUGUUGGAGGAUUUAACAUAAGAUUUCUAAAUAUCCAACCCAAAAUACUAACAUUUUAAGUGGAGUGACAUACCUCCUUAUAAACUCAAGUAUCUCAUAUUUACUAGCUAAUGUGGAACACAGCUCAAUAUGUUUAUUUCUUUUUUCGUUUCUAUAAUAUUUUUGUAAACUUUCAGUGUUGUUAUCUAAAAUAUUUUCUACGAGCCUCGCUUCUUUUCAGCACUUCCAAAAAUUUUAUAUGAAAACCAUAUAUUAUUUGACAAACACGGUUUUGGUUUAUUUGUUCUACAUUUAGUAUAUAAUUAGCAAUUAAACGUACCUUGAUGGACUUAGAUAUGAAAGUUAAUUGUCACCUUUAUAACAUUUACAUUACUAAUUCUUCAUACACCUUCAUUAAUCGAACUUCAUCUGAUCGCCCAAUUCAUACUACGUAAUAUCUUCCUCAAAUUCUAUUUCAAUCUACUACACUGUACAUAUUUUAUUGGCCAUAAAUUGCAUAGCAAAUAUCAUGAGUCAGGAUCCAGUCCAUCGGCGGAAAAAAAGGAAAUGAGUUGCUGCUUAUUUGAUUGCAAUUGGGGUCCCCUUAAAUAACUUGAUAGAACGAAUUUUUGUAGUUUGGAUCAUUCAUACGGUAGAAAUCUCAAUAAUUAAAUCUUAAAUUGAGUUCAACUAUUAUGUGUUAUUCAUUUAUUGGCUAAUAAAUUUCAAAACUAAUAAAUUAAUAUUCUACCAUCAAACAUAUUAGCGGACAUCACUCGAUAAUCUUAGGAUCUUAACAUAACUCUUCAUCCUAUCUGUUUUAUCACCUAGCCUAACAAAACAAGGCCACAUGGUAAAUUAAAAAUACCUGCAAUAGUCAGCAAUAGAUAAUAUGCUAAAUUUCAAACAUUCUACAAAAUUAAAGAGAGAAAAACAUUUAUUAUUUAAAAAAUAUUAAUUGAAGUGCAUUUUAAAAUCUUAAAUACUAAUGUAAUUUUUUAAAUAAAUAAAUUGUAAAAUCUUAUUUAAAAAGGGCUCCGGUUUCCAUAUCAUAGCAAGAACCCACUUCUCAGACAUCGCCAACUCGUACGUCUGAUCCGUCGAUUCCAUGAGUUGAUGAUGAUGAAUAGAUGAUGGAUUUUCUGAAGUUGAAUUUGAAUCACACCGUACAGGUCACAGCUAUAUAUUAUUAAAUAUUAACUGCUAGCUCAGCUGCUAUCAUAACCAUAUAUUGAUUGAAAUAAUUGAAUGGCAUUAAUAAUGAUGAAAUUUGCUCACUUAAUUACUUGCCCCCAGUUGUGACCAUGGUGAAUUUAAUUUGCUACUGCAUCAGUACAAAUUACAAUUGUUACAGUUAGCUACUUCCAAUUUUGCAUUUAUUCGGUUUUCUGAUUGAACAAGAAGAAUUUUAUGUCUUUAUACAUACAAUUGGACACACACACAAACACGCGUAUAAUUGAUUGUCACCCUAACAUAACUUAAAAGCCAAAUAAAAUUCAUCCAUUAGUCCACCUAAAUUAUUGUUUUGUUACUCAUUUGUAUACUAAAAAACUUAGUUAUAAGUUUUGGUAGGGUAAAAACUCGUUUAAUUCUUAUAUUUUGAGGUUAUGCUUAUUUAGUUCUUAUAUUUUUAAAAGUACCUCAAAACAUC
RNAcentral lists this long non-coding RNA (3571 nucleotides) under Citrus x clementina. RNAcentral's name for it is "Citrus clementina (C. clementina) long non-coding RNA (CCLE_LNC001050)". The record is from RNAcentral. Lineage: Eukaryota; Viridiplantae; Streptophyta; Magnoliopsida; Sapindales; Rutaceae.